RNAcentral lists this ribosomal RNA (500 nucleotides) under uncultured Eubacteriales bacterium. Its description in RNAcentral is "uncultured Clostridiales bacterium partial 16S ribosomal RNA". Lineage: Bacteria; Bacillati; Bacillota; Clostridia; Eubacteriales. The record is from RNAcentral.
CACGUAGUUAGCCGGGGCUUCUUGGUCAGGUACCGUCAUCUUCUUCCCUGCCGAUAGGGCUUUACGCGCCGAAACGCUCCUUCACCCACGCGGCGUCGCUGCAUCAGGGUUCCCCCCAUUGUGCAAUAUCCCCCACUGCUGCCUCCCGUAGGAGUCUGGGCCGUGCCUCAGUCCCAGUGUGGCCGUCCACCCUCUCAGGCCGGCUACUGAUCGUCGCCUUGGUAGGCCGUUACCCUGCCAACCAGCUAAUCAGACGCGGGCCCAUCCUGUACCACCGGGGUUUUCCGCGCCAUGCCAUGCGGCACGCCGCGCUUAUGCGGUAUUAGCACCUGUUUCCAGGUGUUAUCCCCCAGUACAGGGCAGGUUGCCCACGCGUUACUCACCCGUCCGCCACUCGCGCGGCGCCGCAGGGGCCGAGGCCCCUGCCGCACGCCGCGCCCGUUCGACUUGCAUGUGUUAGGCACGCCGCCAGCGUUCAUCCUGAGCCAGGAUCAAACUCU